ACGUCCUACGGGAGGCAGCAGGUGGGAAUAUUGCACGAAUGGGCGCAAGCCUGAUGCAGCCAUGCCGCGUGUGUGAAGAAGGCCUUCGGGUUGAUAAAGCACUUUUCAGUCGUGAGGAAGGUAGUGUAGUUAAUAGCUGCAUUAUUUGACGUUAGCGACAGAAGAAGCACCGGCUAACUCCGUGCCAGCAGCCGCGGUAAUACGGAGGGUGCGAGCGUUAAUCGGAAUUACUGGGCGUAAAGCGCAUGCAGGUGGUUUGUUAAGUCAGAUGUGAAAGCCC
This 280-nucleotide ribosomal RNA is filed under the name uncultured bacterium. Its description in RNAcentral is "partial 16S ribosomal RNA". It matches the Rfam family "Bacterial small subunit ribosomal RNA", at positions 335 to 603 of the family's 1533-position model. The record is from RNAcentral.